GAUGAAGAACGUAGCGAAAUGCGAUAAGUAGUGUGAAUUGCAGAAUUCAGUGAAUCAUCGAAUCUUUGAACGCACAUUGCGCCCUUUGGUAUUCCUUAGGGCAUGCCUGUUCGAGCGUCAUUUAAACCUUCAAGCUAAGCUUGGUGUUGGGUGACUGUCCGCUUCACGGCGGACUCGCCUCAAAAUUAUUGGCGGCAGGUACAUUGGCUUCGAGCGCAGCAGAAACGCGAACUCGGGCCCGUCGUAUUGGCUCCCAGAAGCUAUCUUCACAAUUUUGACCUCGGAUCAGGUAGGGAUACCCGCUGAACUUAAGCAUAUCAAUAAGCGGAGGA
RNAcentral lists this unclassified non-coding RNA (332 nucleotides) under soil metagenome. RNAcentral describes it as "partial contains 5.8S ribosomal RNA, internal transcribed spacer 2, and large subunit ribosomal RNA". The stretch from base 1 to 120 matches the Rfam family "5.8S ribosomal RNA", at positions 35 to 154 of the family's 154-position model. The record is from RNAcentral.